Molecule: ribosomal RNA, 486 nt
Filed under: uncultured bacterium
Lineage: Bacteria
Description: partial 16S ribosomal RNA
Rfam family: Bacterial small subunit ribosomal RNA
Source: RNAcentral
AUUGAACGCUGGCGGCAUGCCUUACACAUGCAAGUCGAACGGCAGCACGGGUGCUUGCACCUGGUGGCGAGUGGCGAACGGGUGAGUAAUACAUCGGAACAUGUCCUGUAGUGGGGGAUAGCCCGGCGAAAGCCGGAUUAAUACCGCAUACGAUCUACGGAUGAAAGCGGGGGAGCUUCGGGCCUCGCGCGAUAGGGUUUGCCGAUGGCUGAUUGGCUAGUUGGUGGGGUGAAGGCCUACCAAGGCGACGAUCGGUAGCUGGUCGGAGAGGACGACCAGCGACACUGGGACUGGGACACGGCCCAGACUCCUACGGGAGGCAGCAGUGGGGAAUUUUGGACAAUGGGCGAGAGCCUGAUCCAGCAAUGCCGCGUGUGUGAAGAAGGCCUUCGGGUUGUAAAGCACUUUUGUCCGGAAAGAAAUCCUUGGCCCUAAUACGGUCGGGGGAUGACGGUACCGGAAGAAUAAGCACCGGCUAACUACGUG